CGGACGGGUGAGUAACGCGUGAGCAACCUGUCCUUCACAGGGGGAUAACACAGCGAAAGUUGUACUAAUACCGCAUAAGACCACACCGGGACAUCCCGGAGGGGUCAAAGGAGCAAUCCGGUGAAGGGUGGGCUCGCGUCCGAUUAGAUAGUUGGUGAGGUAACGGCCCACCAAGUCGACGAUCGGUAGCCGACCUGAGAGGGUGAUCGGCCACAUUGGGACUGAGACACGGCCAAACUCCUACGGGAGGCAGCAGUGGGGAAUAUUGGGCAAUGGGGGAAACCCUUGACCCAGCAACGCCGCGUGAGGGAAGUAAGGUUUUCGGAUCGUAAACCUCUGUCCUUGGUGAAGAGAUAGAGACGGUAGCCAAGGAGGAAGCCCCGGCUAACUACGUGCCAGCAGCUGC
Molecule: ribosomal RNA, 406 nt
Filed under: uncultured bacterium
Lineage: Bacteria
Description: bacterial SSU rRNA
Rfam family: Bacterial small subunit ribosomal RNA
Source: RNAcentral